RNAcentral lists this ribosomal RNA (253 nucleotides) under uncultured bacterium. RNAcentral's name for it is "partial 16S ribosomal RNA". It matches the Rfam family "Bacterial small subunit ribosomal RNA", at positions 524 to 776 of the family's 1533-position model. The record is from RNAcentral.
UACGGAGGGUGCGAGCGUUAAUCGGAAUUACUGGGCGUAAAGCGCGCGUAGGCGGCUUGAUAAGCCGGUUGUGAAAGCCCCGGGCUCAACCUGGGAACCGCAUCCGGAACUGUCAGGCUAGAGUGCAGGAGAGGAAGGUAGAAUUCCCGGUGUAGCGGUGAAAUGCGUAGAGAUCGGGAGGAAUACCAGUGGCGAAGGCGGCCUUCUGGACUGACACUGACGCUGAGGUGCGAAAGCGCGGGUAGCGAACAGG